ACCCUCCUGACUCCUUACCCAUCAGACGGAAACACUGGUUUGAGUGGUUACAAAAAGAGGAAAAGUGAAAAUGACCUGGAUUCUUUUGCAACAAACCAGCGAGAUUCAAGCAAAC
RNAcentral lists this small nucleolar RNA (115 nucleotides) under Echinops telfairi (small Madagascar hedgehog). RNAcentral describes it as "Small nucleolar RNA SNORA61 (ENSETEG00000026094.1)". Lineage: Eukaryota; Metazoa; Chordata; Mammalia; Afrosoricida; Tenrecidae. The record is from RNAcentral.